GUAACAAUACAAAGACUCUUUGCUUUUGCAUCAGAUUCGGUUUCUUGGUGGUCCUUGGGGGACUCUGGGUACAACAAAUUCUAGAACAGGGGUGUUUCCAGUCUUUUGAAAAGCUGUUUUGAAUCAUGGUCUUCUAUGUUCAUUGAGGUGGACUCAAACCCCGUCUAUAGCCCCACAGGGCAUUGCCCUUGUUAUCCUCCUGACUAACCACCCUAGAUCUUGGUUUACCCUUCUGCAGCACCACAGAGUUCUAAAUUUACAAGUUUGAGUCACAUAGUGGACUGUCCAUUGCAGAACAGGGAGAGGAUUUGUGUGUGGAGCAUGGCUUCUCUCUUCAGACCAGAAGAGGAGGAGCAGUGUACUGUGUACACUGCAGAGAAAUCACACUAGACAACAGCUAGAUCAUGACUGAAGUGGAAGGCAGUGAGCGUGAGCUGCGGGGUCUCCAUUACAAAGAAGGACUGAUGGGGUAGGGGACUAUUGGAAUGUGACCUGUGUUUGGUUGCAGGACCUCCCAGCUAUGAAGUAAAGAGUUGGCUGUACUGGACAUUGAGUGUGUAAUGGAAUGUGCACACAUAGAAUCCUGUGCCUUGGGAGAGGAACAGUAAGUGCUCUGAGAGAAUGUAAGAUUUUACUACAGUACAGAUUUCCCAGAUAAGGGUCCUGUCUUACUUUAGUGUGGAAGGGCAGAGCUGAGACAGCCUGGGCUGUCUGAGUUAUUUACCUCUGCUUACCCAGUUGGGUAACUACUAAUGUCCUGAAGCCCAGCUGGGUGGCGCUAGCUAAUGAGGGACUCUGGGAAGGCUUAGCCACCAGGAGCACCAGCAGGAGGUAGGUUACAGGUUCUUUCCAGGAUUCUCCUCUUGUUCUGCUGUAGGGAGCUGUAAGGAAGACCACAAGCCAUGCCAUGGUGAAUGUGGGGUCCACUAUCUCCAGACCAGAAAGAGUAGAUUGGCUGAGCUGUCAGAGCUGCUUGGACUGGGAUUGAUCAUGAACCAGACUGAGGUUCUGUUGGUUCCUGUGGUGACCUGAGCAGUAGUCUUUGGAAUAUAUAUAUGAUUUAUUAAAUUACCUCUGUAUGUAUAUAUACACACACACACAGAGGGAGAGAGAGAGAGAUGAAGAGACAUUCAUUGGAUAAGUUCCGCUAUUCUAGAGAAGCUUGACUAAUACAGAUUUAGAUACCAGAAGUGGUUCUAGAGUAACUGAAGUAUGAAAAUGAAUUUUUUAUGUAUCUUGCAUAAGCUAUUCAAUUUGCCAACACCUACAGAAGUGAAGCAGCCUCUCUGGUUCCUGAGUCCUCUCCUGGCAGCUAAAAGUGUGCUAAAAUCCCCAAAAUGUAAACUACUUUACAAAUUUAAUAAAUGCAUUUGAUUAUUCUGAUUCACCAGUUGGGGGCAGCAACGGACUCAGUCACUAACUAUAUAUAAAACUUCUGACAGUUUGUGGGGGAAUGAGGAAAAUUAUGAUGUUGGUUGGUUGCUCUUAGCAUCUCUGGAUAAUUGACAAAGGAUAGGAAUGAGCUCCUUGAUAAAAUGAACCAGCUUCUAGCAUCUCAGAACAUAGUGAAGGACAACAAUGAACUUGGUGAUAAAAUUGACCAGCUCCAGAUGCACAUAAACAGACCAAAGGUUUCUAAGUGUACCCAGGAAGAAAAUCUUCUCUCCAGCAGUCACGGAGGUCAAGUUGCAGAAAAAUAAACCUGCAGUGAUGACAUUAUGCUGAUUAAAGCAAGUGAGCUGGAGGUGCGACCACUUUUGACUCAUUGAGAACCCACAAGUUCAUCAUAGGAUAGCAAAUAAAUCCAACCAAAAUUCAAGGUCCGUCUACCACAGUGAAAACUCUGGGAGGUUUGGGAUUAAGUACUGGGAGACCAUGCCUGAGUAAAGAAACGUCUUAAGAGAGAAGAGCAAGAAAUUUCCUUUUUAUUCAUAAAAAUAUGCAUUUUAAUCAACAUGGGCUUAAAAUGGCAGUCAUUAUAUACAGUGUACAGCCUUACCAAAAUAUCAAAUCAAUGACAAGAACAAAAGAAAUAACAACAAAACCCCAAACCAAAUUGAACCAAAAAUCCAAGGAGAAACCAGACAAAAAAAUUAAGCUGAGCAGUACUGUCUUGCUGCAGAUUUAGUGGCACUGAUGUACAUGUGGCUGGCCUUAGAUACUGGGUAGGAAGGCAGUCAUGGAUUGUAAUAGACUUUUCAAGGCUGAGUGUAAGCCCAGCUCUUUGGGGCUUUGUAGUUCAAGUCCUCACCAAGGUCACAUAUCACAGGCUUUUGUUCACUCUUUUGAAUUCACUUGACACACGUGUACUAAAGUAUCCUUGAUGACCCAUCAUGACAAGCAGUAAUUUACACUAUCAGACUCCUCCUGCAUGCCCAGCAGCUCCAGAUAGGCUUGAGCACUUCUCUGAAGCCCUCCCUGCUGCAACUUGUGCAAGAGUGAAAUUGCAAUCUCUGUGUGGAAAUGUACCUCCCAGGUCUCCCUUGGCCAUGGCAUUUCCUCUGCUCAAACCUUCCCACUCUUAAGGAGAUAAAUGUCUGAAAGUUCAUCUUCUUGAUGUGGAGCAUCUUCCGGUCCAAAGACAUGAAAGGUGACCUUGACAUCAGGACUGGUCACCUCAAUUUAGGCUGUGAAACUAGAACAUUUCCAGACAUUUUUCUUAUAGAGGAACAAAUGACCAGCAGGAGGAGAGAGGGACUCCUGCCACCUCUGCAGAGCAUUAUCUUCAGCAACAUUUGUGUGUGGCACGGAGACAGCUUCAGUGCUGAACUGGAGAGAGAAUCCUGUGCUCUGGGGAUGGCUGAUAUUUGUCUCACUGCUGAAUUCUCAGCUAUAAGCUGGUGUCCUUUUUGAGGAGGCCUUGAUCCCAGACUGGAGAAUGUCAUGUAUUCAAGGUGGCUAUGGCUUCCUUCAGCCUCCUCAGUUCUCUGAAGGGGUGCUAUUAAAAAAGGAAAGGCAAUCAGACCCAGAUGCAGCCUUGCUGGGCCACUGACUAGACAAAAUUGGGGCCUAUUCUCCUAAAGCAUAUCAAUGUCAAGGAAAAAACCCACUCCAUGAAUUCCAUGGCUGCUGAGGAGAGGGUUCAACAGUGGCUCACUUGCCUGGCACACUCAGUGCUCUGCUGCAGCAGCCCUGUCUGCAGGAGGCUCUCAUCCUGGACUGUGGCCUGGUCUAGCUCAUGCUGGACUUUUUCAAAUCUAAAGGAAGGCAGCUGGGACACAGGAAGGUCAGCUCUGCAGCCUCCCCCAGCUAAUCUACUGUGACAUCUCAGCACAGGUCAUUUCCUGCAUCUCCAAGGGGGAAAGGUCAGAGAGUAUCUGGGCCUGGAUUUUCUCUCAUCUUUUAAAACUGCUAGAAGUUGAACUUAGAUAAACACAUUGUGCUGAAAUAGAAAAAAAAGAACACAUUGUCCAGAUACAUUAUUUUGGAAAAAUAGCAGCAUAGCAAUGUCUGAGAGACAGUACAGGAGAGAUGCACAGCUUGAUUUGGUACCAGGUGAAUGUGAGCAGCCUGGGAAACUAUAUGGAGGCCUUCUAGAGGAGCCUACAGAACACUGCCCUCUAGAGGAGCCUACACAACACUGCAGUGAAGGUUGUGAUUAUUCCUAUAGCACAGAACCCUACAUGGGAUCAACCCCCUAACCCCUAAAUCUGCUUAUAACCAGAGAAACCUUUUCACAGGAAACCAAUGCAAACUGCAGAGAGCCUGAAAUCAGGAGUGUUCUAUGUACAAAUCUGCCCAAGAGUAGGAAAUUGUCUCAAGAUGAUUUCUGGAAGAAAAACAAAGUGUCAGGAGGAUGCACUGUCUUCCGCAAUUAACCCUCAUCCUCCUAGGUUGGGGCAUGCCCUAAGGAGAUUUGUGGGGACACUUAAGGGACAAGGUAUUCAGAGCAUGCCAAGAGAGCUCAGAAUGGAGGAAAGGGUACACAAUCCCCCCAGAACACUAAAGAUCAAACAUUGAUUCUUGGAGAGAAAUUCUUGUUGACUGAACCAGCACAAUACUCUGAGGGUUUCUUUCCCUUGCUGUGGCUGAGAACUAUGCAGAUGGGGAGAAUUCCAACAAGAACAGAGAUCCAGGUACAGGGGGCCUACACAGCUCUAACCCCUACUCCCAGCUUGGGCCCCUACUUCAUCUCACAACCAUCCAAGUGACGCCCUGGCUUUUCUGCUAAGUUGCUUUCCUGGGUAAAGCUCCUUCUGCUUCUGCAGGUCCUGAAACUUUUCAAGGAGCCUUUCAGGCUCCCGCUCAUUCAAAGAUUCUGUUCUUAGCAGACGUUUGCACAUCCACAUGCAUACACACAGUCUCCUGAACAUGCACAAGUACAUGUAUGGACACAUACAAACAUACUACAUUGCAGCCACAUGUUUAGUUUCCCAGUUAAUGCCAACAUGAGAAGAGAUUACCUGGGGUACUAUGGAGAAGAAAGUGAGCUUUUGUUGAAGAAGAAUGCAGUGGGCAGGGGCAAUGGACAGCCCAGUCAAUGAAGUGCCUGCCCUAUAAACCUGAUGUACAGACAGGAGGAGCUCUGGAGUCCUGGGCCUGUUAGCCAGGCUUGCAUAGCAAGUCCCCAAGCCAGCACAGGACCACUGAAUGGUGGUCCACCAUCAUCUCCUUACUCUCACUCACUGUUUUCUAGUUGCUCAAAGUCAAGAAGCUUUCUCCAAAAGUUGUUCCUUUUAUCAUAGUCAGCCUUACUUUGGGUCCAAAGCAAUGAGCUCAGAUAACUAGAAAAAUCUCUACAACCAGGAGCUAAAACAAACCAGUACUCUGUAAGGUGAUUGGGUCAGGGAUUUGUUUGAGUAACACAAGGCUAACCCAAGGCCAAAUGAUUGUUUUUAUUACUUCAUGCUGAACAAUACUCCAUGGAAGGGCUCAAGCACAUUGUACGUUUUCACCCUUAGGCUGAUUGAUAGCCAUCUGGAUAGUAUCUAUUUUGGUGCUGCUAUGAGGGAGGCUGAUAAAACCCGGAUGUCCCCUAAUUUCUCUGUGGACACCUCUUUCUCAUCCUAGAAUAACAGUGUCACCUAGUAAGUGCAGUUUGACUUUCAAAGACUUGUACUGCCUUUUACACAGAGCGAUACAGUUUCACACCACCAGCCAUGUCUGAGGGUUCUCAUUUCUCCCAACCCUCCACGAGGCUGACUUUAAUUCAGUUCCUGAGUGCUGCAAACAGCACAGGGUUAGUGCUUUAGAAUAACACGAGCUAAGUGGGCCACACUGAGACGCUGCUGUUCUCACGCUAAUCAUGGCUAUGGGACUCCUGCCGGACUGAGAAGCAGCUGCAAGCACACUGCAACUCAGAAUUUCUCAAGGAAUAAAAUCCAGGUCCAGCUCCCAGGCCAAGUUAACCGAGCCAAAGUUGGGCAAAGGGUAGAAAGAAAAUGGUGGCCGGAAGUGAGGGUAAGAACAAAACAUGGUGCAGAGAGAACACUUGGAACCACCUGACUGUCAAGCGUGUAGCUACCAUUCCUCCAGAGCAGAGAAGGGACACACACCCUCAGCCAGCCUUUCCUACUUCUCAGGCACCUUCAUCUGCCACAGUGUCCUCCUCCACGCCUUCAUGUACCCCAUUCUUUUGGUUUUCUCCAAAGGAUAUAUUUCCAGGUAAAUAUCUUUGCCUCUACAAACACCAGAAAACAUUUGUGUUUACAGCAGUUUUUGUGUCCUUUUGUUUUAGGGAGCUACAUGCCGAAAUUUGGGUGGCCGCAUGUGAUUAUUUGAUGGAUGCAAAGUCUUAAUAUCCAGAACAGGACAGACAGUACUUUCUUAUGAAAAUUGGUCUCCAUCAUUGUUAAAGAUGUUCCAUGAGCAAGUGAACAUAGAUGUAUGCAGAAACAUACACACUAGUGUCAUGUUCAAUGCCAAAACACACACUCACACAUAGAUUAUAAAUAUACACAAAUACCCACAAAGGCACAUAUCCCUACACCUACAGGCAACAUGGGCACAAACAUGCUCACCCAUACCUGGGAACAUACACACACACUGAGGGACAAUACCAUGUACACAAAGGCCUGUAUAUAUUUAAAGUCACACACACGCACAAAUAUUCAAAUACAUGCAGACACACAAACACAAGCACAUAAAGAGGCUUACACAGACACUCCCACACC
Molecule: long non-coding RNA, 6113 nt
Organism: Peromyscus leucopus (white-footed mouse)
Lineage: Eukaryota; Metazoa; Chordata; Mammalia; Rodentia; Cricetidae
Exons: 2
Source: RefSeq, a predicted model, not a curated record